Molecule: long non-coding RNA, 3633 nt
Organism: Rosa chinensis
Lineage: Eukaryota; Viridiplantae; Streptophyta; Magnoliopsida; Rosales; Rosaceae
Exons: 8
Source: RefSeq, a predicted model, not a curated record
CUUGUGUCUAACUCUGUAAUCAGCAUAUAUUUGCGAUAGUUUCUCUGGUGUACCUAGGUUGUUCUUGUGUCCCUUUAGCUGGUUUGACUUAUAUCUUCAUUGCGUAUAAUAUUCUGCUUCCUUUGGUGUUCUCUAGAAUUGAUUAUUUUCACUCAAUUUAGGUUAGCAGUCCUCUAAUUUUGUAUGUAUUUUAGAGGAUAUAUGUAGAGUUCAGAUUGAACUUGAAGCCUUUAGAAUCGCGUUGGAGUUGCAAAACUGAUGGGAUGCUGCUCUGGUAAGCUAACACACCUUUAUAUCAUAACUAUCGCCUUGAGGCAGGGAUGUAGUGAAACUGCUGUUACUCGUGAGUUGGGUUGCACUGCUUUACAUUUUUUUGUCAAUUUUUUUUUGCGACAGCUGGGAAAUUGCCUUACGUUUCAGAAUCUUCAGUGUACUCUUGAUUCCUUUCAGAAAACGAUACACAUGAAGAUAUGGGAACCUCAUUCUAGAAAUUUAUUUCAACAAAAUUCCAUCUGCAAAAGAUGCAUACCUCCUGUUGCUCUGUUUUUCCCUCAUCAUUUAUUUGUUUUUCGUUUAAUCCCUCAUCCAUUUUCUGGAACCAUAACACAGACGAAAAUGCAAAUGUCAUGACAACUCUAGGAAACCAACAGAUAUGAUGAAAGAAAUUAAAUCUCUCCCGAGAGAAAACCAGCAGCUCCUCUGGCAAUUGCUUAGAAUUUUCUUCUCAAGGGACAUGGUGCUCAAGCAAAGUUUGUGUAAUGGAACAAUGUCACAGAAAACCCUUUGAGAUGGAGCAAAAUGAUCUUGCUUCGAAAAUUUGAUUGGAAGCCCAGCUUAUCUUCUUAGCAGAUUUGGUUGGGGUCAGUGACGGAGAUGAUAAUAAGAUUCCGGUGGCCGGAACUGACAGUGGAGACUACAUUGAGAUUUCUUGGUUCAAGCAGCACUCUGCACCAACUGCUGGUAUCAGUUUCUCACCAUCUAAUUACAAGGGGGCAUAAGUAAUAUUGACUUAUACAUUUUCAUUCCUUAUGUUAUAAGACUAGGAGGCUAUUUUAUCAUGCUGUGGUGUAGUGAAUCUUUCAUGGUCGGAAAUGCUUUCUGAUUUCAAAAUACUUUCCCUUGACAGAUGUUUGUUAGUGUGGAGCUUGAUAAAAAAUUGUCUAGUCAAAAUGCCUGGUAAGGUAUUAGUUAUGCAUUCUGAUAUUCAAAAUACAUUUUUUCUUGACAGAUGAUUGUAUGGUCAAAAUGCCUGAUACGUUUCAGAUUUUUCAAUUUACUUUAGAAGAGACUCUUGAUUCCUUUCAGAUAUCGGUACACGAGAUAUGAGGAACCUUCAUAUAGAAAUUUUGUUGUUGGCACAGACUAUAGUUAUUCUAUCUUUGAACAUAGUCUGCAUAAAUAACAAUAUUUUUUUGUUCAGCCAAAGAUCUGAAUUUUUAUAUUGUCAGAAUGUUUCAUAAAUUUGUGGUACUAAUCAAUUGCAGUAGUCAUCAGGAUGUUACAGGUCUCUGCUGGCAAAGGUCAAAAUCAAUUGUUUACUAGCUUGGUGUCUAAGUCAGAUACAUCAACUGCCACAGAAUCAGGGUUCUUCCAGCAAUGAACGGAGGAACCUCAGAACUGCGGAAGGCCCCUGAACAAGAUGUGAGCAGGGAAUUCCUUUACGUUUCAAAUUUUCAAUUUACUUUAGAAGAGACUCUUGAUUCCUUUCAGAAAUCGGUAUGCGAAGACAUGAGGAACCUUCAUAUAGAAAUUUUAAGACAAUUCAACAUGCAAGCGAUGGAAAUGUCAACUGUGACGAGUAAAAUUCUAGCAAACCAAGCUGAGGUCUGGAAGAAGUUAAUCUCUCUGGAAAGAAAACCAGCAGCUUCUGCAAUUUUUUUAGCACUGGUGAAGAUUGUAUUUAGUGUUAAUGAUUUGUUGUGCGGAUUGGAAUAUGUCUGCUGUUUGUGUUGUACAAUUUGCCUUUCAUUUAUGGGCUUUUGUUCUCUAGGUACAUUUGAAUUGCUGAAAUGAUGUUGUUUGGGAUUCGGUUGUUUCUUUCCUAGUUUUAGGUUUUCGUAUUCUGGGGAUUUUAUCAAGUAAUGACAUGUUUGACAAGUUGUACAUCACAGUGGAACAUCAUGUGGCUUUAAUGUUCACUACCAAACAUGCCAUUGCUGAACUCGUUUUUCGCCUGAACGACCCCCUCCUCCUUUUUCUUCCUCGUUUUGUCAAUUAUACUUUCUCAGGUAUGUCUUCCUUAAUUAAACAAUCUAUAUGUUCAGAAACAAUUCUAAUUAUUGAACUUGAAUGGUAUAUGGUUUUAUAUAGAUAGGUUAGGAUUGUGUAGAAACUUUCAUUAUGUUCAAAUCUGGAAAAUCAGAAUAGUUAGCAUGUCAAAUCCACUUCAGCAGAUGGGGAAGGCCCCUAUGCUUGAAUCUGAACUGUGUUCUACCUCCCACCCAGAAAUCCUGAGAGAAUGAACAACAAAUCUGAUUUUAGUGUCAGUACGUCCCUAGGUUGCUUCCAUGUGCUUGUUGCUAACUAGAUUCUAGCAGUAUGUCAAGUAAACAAGUUACCUCCAAUUCCAUGUACGCUCUUAACAGAAUUCCGAUUCACAUCCUCUCUGUGUUCAGAUGAUGAGCAUCACAUUUUUUGUAAAUAUAAAAAAAGAAGAAGCUAGCGCAUAUACCUCAGUCAGACUAAGUAAAGCGUGGCAGAUUGCUUUAUUUUUUUUUGUUAUUUGGGUGCACCUAGGGUAGAGCUCAGUCAAGCAGCUAAGGCCACACCAAUCACACGUACACUUGCUUAGUUGCUGCUUGUAGAUAAGAAAGCCUUCAUUUACUUUUAUUUCCUUUGUCAAGUAGGAGAUUCUCUUCUGCAGGGGAUUGAGCAAAUGAUCAUUCAUCCAAUAUCUGGUUGAAAUUUCACCUCAACUUCUAAACAGAAGAAUGCAGAGCUCGUAUUGAAGGUUGAAGCACUUUGAAUCGCCUUGUAGUUGCAAAUCUGAUGGAAUGCUACUCUGGUAAAAUAUCAUAACUGGUGCCUUGCAACAGAGUAGUGAAGCUUCUGUUACGUAUGCACCCAGGUGAGGCUGAUUGAGUCAAGUGGCUGGGGUACCAAUCAGACUGACGACUUUAUCACUCUUGUUUCCUUCGUUCACUUGGAGAUUCCCUUUUGGAGAGGAUGGGGAAAAUGAAUAUCCAAUAUAUGAUUGGAAUCCCAGCUGAGUCACUUCCCUAUGUCCCCUGGCAUCAAAGGAAUCAUGGGACAGAGCGACAACAUGUCAACAUCACAGUACUUUUAUAGGGGAGGACAAAAGGAGCCUCAGAAUUUCAAGAGACCCCUAAACAAGCUGCACAAAUGGGAAAUUGCUUUACAUUUCUACUUCUCUAGAUUCCCUGGGAAAUUGCUCUCUUUGUUCCCUCAUCGGUUUUUCUCUUUCGUCAAGUUCCUCAUCCAUUUCAUCUGCAAGGAGUAAGGAUUGCCUCUAACGACUAUGGAAAUUGAUCAGCUCACAACAAAGGAAAUUCAAUAAUGACAAAUUAGUUUCAUUGCUAAACUGUAUCAUCAUUCCACCCAAAAUAUAUUUAAUUAUGCAUCUCCAUAGACAUUAUACAUGGUUCUUGAGAUUAUUGGAUUAAUUAAUUUCAU